RNAcentral lists this small RNA (64 nucleotides) under Salmonella enterica. RNAcentral describes it as "partial RtT sRNA". It matches the Rfam family "RtT RNA", at positions 63 to 130 of the family's 130-position model. From Rfam's summary of the family: This family represents a bacterial cis-regulatory element known as RtT RNA. The record is from RNAcentral. Lineage: Bacteria; Pseudomonadati; Pseudomonadota; Gammaproteobacteria; Enterobacterales; Enterobacteriaceae. RNAcentral also lists the same sequence under 7 other names.
UAACGUUGCGUCAGCAACGGCCCGUAGGGCGAGGCGAAGCCGAGUCAUCCUGCACGACCCACCA